UACGUAGGGGGCAAGCGUUGUCCGGAUUUAUUGGGCGUAAAGCGCUCGCAGGUGGUUCGUCGCGUCGUGCGUGAAAGACCCCGGCUCAACUGGGGAGGGUCGUGCGAUACGGGCGAACUGGAGGCCAGUAGGGGGAUGCGGAAUUCCGGGUGUAGUGGUGGAAUGCGUAGAGAUGUGGAGGAAUACCGAUGGCGAAGGCAGCCCCCUGGGCCAAUACUGACGCUCAUGCACGAAAGCGUGGGGAGCAAACAGG
This 253-nucleotide ribosomal RNA is filed under the name uncultured bacterium. Its description in RNAcentral is "partial 16S ribosomal RNA". It matches the Rfam family "Bacterial small subunit ribosomal RNA", at positions 524 to 776 of the family's 1533-position model. The record is from RNAcentral.